UUCAGAGACCAAACCCUCAUCCCCUUAACCACCAGGGAAGUCCCCCCAAAUAGUAAGAAUUUAACGAUAAACAGCUAAAGGGCAAGAACACACAAGAUGACAGAUCAUAUAGGAGGAAAUUCCAAUAAAUGGGAAAACACUCAAAACAAUUAUUUAAAAAAUAUCUAUUUACUUUAUCAUUUUAAGGAAAUACACACCAAAAUAUGACUGGAUAAAAACCAACAAUGGCUGUCAUUAGGGCAGGUUAUAUAGGGCUUCCCUUUUUCUUGUGUAAACUCUCUUUGAUAAUGUUACAUUACUUUCACAAUUUAAAGAAAUUAUAAAAACUACAAAAAUAAUAGAAAAUGUCCAUUUUCUGUGAAAAACCUUGUUCAAAUAUUACACAGUAAGGC
This 392-nucleotide long non-coding RNA is filed under the name Bos taurus (domestic cattle). Its description in RNAcentral is "long non-coding RNA NONBTAT015142". Lineage: Eukaryota; Metazoa; Chordata; Mammalia; Artiodactyla; Bovidae. The record is from RNAcentral.